CGGGACGGGGUGAGUAAUGUCUGGGAAACUGCCUGAUGGAGGAGGAUAACUACUGGAAACGGUAGCUAAUACCGCAUAACGUCGCAAGACCAAAGAGGGGGACCUUAGGGCCUCUUGCCAUCGGAUGUGCCCAGAUGGGAUUAGCUUGUUGGUGGGGUAACGGCUCACCAAGGCGACGAUCCCUAGCUGGUCUGAGAGGAUGACCAGCCACACUGGAACUGAGACACGGUCCAG
RNAcentral lists this ribosomal RNA (234 nucleotides) under uncultured bacterium. RNAcentral describes it as "partial 16S ribosomal RNA". It matches the Rfam family "Bacterial small subunit ribosomal RNA", at positions 104 to 334 of the family's 1533-position model. The record is from RNAcentral.